GACGAACCGUACGAACGUUAUUCGGAAUCACUGGGCUUAAAGGGUGCGUAGGCGGCGCGACAAGUUGGGUGUGAAAUCCCUCGGCUCAACCGAGGAACUGCGCCCAAAACUGUCGUGCUCGAGGGAGACAGAGGUGAGCGGAACUUAGGGUGGAGCGGUGAAAUGCGCAGAUAUCAGGAGGAACACCGGUGGCGAAGGCGGGUCUCUGGGCCGAUAUUGACGCUGAGGAGCGAAAGCGUGGGGAGCAAACAGG
RNAcentral lists this ribosomal RNA (253 nucleotides) under uncultured bacterium. Its description in RNAcentral is "partial 16S ribosomal RNA". It matches the Rfam family "Bacterial small subunit ribosomal RNA", at positions 524 to 776 of the family's 1533-position model. The record is from RNAcentral.